AUUGAACGCUGGCGGCAGGCCUAACACAUGCAAGUCGAACGGUAACAGGAAGCAGCUUGCUGCUUCGCUGACGAGUGGCGGACGGGUGAGUAAUGUCUGGGAAACUGCCUGAUGGAGGGGGAUAACUACUGGAAACGGUAGCUAAUACCGCAUAACGUCGCAAGACCAAAGAGGGGGACCUUAGGGCCUCUUGCCAUCGGAUGUGCCCAGAUGGGAUUCGCUAGUAGGUGGGGUAACGGCUCACCUAGGCGACGAUCCCUAGCUGGGCUGAGAGGAUGACCAGCCACACUGGAACUGAGACACGGUCCAGACCACUACGGGAGGCAGCAGUGGGGAAUAUUGCACAAUGGGCGCAAGCCUGAUGCAGCCAUGCCGCGUGUAUGAAGAAGGCCUUCGGGUUGUAAAGUACUUUCAGCGGGGAGGAAGGGAGUAAAGUUAAUACCUUUGCUCAUUGACGUUACCCGCAGAAGAAGCGCCGGCUAACUCCGUG
RNAcentral lists this ribosomal RNA (490 nucleotides) under uncultured bacterium. RNAcentral describes it as "partial 16S ribosomal RNA". It matches the Rfam family "Bacterial small subunit ribosomal RNA", at positions 30 to 507 of the family's 1533-position model. The record is from RNAcentral.